AUUGAACGCUGGCGGCAGGCCUAACACAUGCAAGUCGAAUGGUAACAGGGAUCAGCUUGCUGAUUCGCUGACGAGUGGCGGACGGGUGAGUAAUGUCUGGGAAACUGCCUGAUGGAGGGGGAUAACUACUGGAAACGGUAGCUAAUACCGCAUAACGUCGCAAGACCAAAGAGGGGGACCUUCGGGCCUCUUGCCAUCGGAUGUGCCCAGAUGGGAUUAGCUAGUAGGUGGGGUAACGGCUCACCUAGGCGACGAUCCCUAGCUGGUCUGAGAGGAUGACCAGCCACACUGGAACUGAGACACGGUCCAGACUCCUACGGGAGGCAGCAGUGGGGAAUAUUGCACAAUGGGCGCAAGCCUGAUGCAGCCAUGACGCGUGUAUGAAGAAGGCCUUCGGGUUGUAAAGUACUUUCAGCGGGGAGGAAGGGAGUAAAGUUAAUACCUUUGCUCAUUGACGUUACCCGCAGAAGAAGCACCGGCUAACUCCGUG
Molecule: ribosomal RNA, 490 nt
Filed under: uncultured bacterium
Lineage: Bacteria
Description: partial 16S ribosomal RNA
Rfam family: Bacterial small subunit ribosomal RNA
Source: RNAcentral